This 405-nucleotide long non-coding RNA is filed under the name Vigna radiata. RNAcentral's name for it is "long non-coding RNA (VRAD_LNC004974)". Lineage: Eukaryota; Viridiplantae; Streptophyta; Magnoliopsida; Fabales; Fabaceae. The record is from RNAcentral.
UGUGAAAUACGGAUGGUACAAUUCAGUACUAUUCUAAUUAAAAAACAUAUUAUAGAUUAAUAUGCUAACUAAAUUAAAAACAUUGAUUUUGAAAUAUAUAAUGCAUUCGAAAUACGAAAAAACUCGUCCAAACCUCUCUUUCCCAACAAACAAACUACAACGAAAUGGAAAUAAACUUUUUUUCUUCACUUUGCCAACACUCCUCAAAGGCUGAGUUCCGACGCCUACGUUAGUAGAGGUACUGGGAGAUGCGCCUUUAAAGGGAUAAAGUGCGGUGUAGUCUGUAGAAGAACCUUCCGACAACAACAAUGGAGGUGAGAUAUAUCCAUAAUAUGGGGUGUAGAUUUACACACUUAGGAAUGAUAAAGAGUUCGAUCACACAGAUAAUGUCUAAUCUAAUCAUAA